Oncorhynchus keta (chum salmon) is the source of this 1886-nucleotide long non-coding RNA. RefSeq lists it as uncharacterized. NCBI's taxonomy places the organism in Eukaryota, Metazoa, Chordata, Actinopteri, Salmoniformes, Salmonidae. The record is from RefSeq and is a predicted model, not a curated record. The transcript is spliced from 2 exons.
CCUUUUGGAAGGUUCUCCAAAGAGGAACUCUGAAGCUAAGUCAGAGUGAUCAUCGGGUUAUUGGUCACCUCCCUGACCAAAGCCCUUCUCCCCCGAUUGCUCAGUUUGGCUGGGCAGCCAGCUCUAGGAAGAGUCUUGUUGGUUCCAAACUUCUUACAUUUAAGAAUGAUGGAGGCCACUGUGUUCUUGGGGACCUUCAAUGCUGCAGAAAUGUUUUGGUACCCUUCCCCAGAUCUGUGCCUCGACACAAUCCUGUCUCGGAGAUCUACAAUUCCUUCGACUUCACAGCUUGGUUUUUGCUCUGUCAUGCACUGUCAACUGUGGGACCUUAUAUAGACAGGUUUGUGCCUUUCCAAAUCAUGUCCAAUCAAUUGAAUUUACCACAAGUAGUCUCAUAGCAAAGGGUCUGAAUACUUAUGUAAAUAAGGCAUUUCUGUUUUUGAUUUUUAAUACAUUUGCAGACAUUUCUAAAAACCUGUUUUUGCUUUGUCAUUAUGGGGUAUUGUGUGAAGCUUGAUGAAGAAAAACAAUAUUUAAUCAACUUUAGAAUAAGGCUGUAACGUAACAAAAUGUGGAAAAAAUCAAGGGGUUUGAAUACUUUCCGAAUGUCCUGUAUAUGUAUUUUCUAUUUUUAGUUGAAACCUGGGUUGAUUUGAAACAAUAGCUGUUGAUGACUUCGCAAAUGCUACAGUAUAUUCACCUAAUUUUCACCGGAAAUAUGGGCGGGUUCUAUUUCGUUUUUUUUGGUGGGGGACUUCCGGUUAAGCAUUUCCAGCCAAUAGUUCGCAGCUAACCUAGAUAACCAACACACCUCUCACAACUUCCCAAACAUGGAUUCACGCAAAACAGACAUUUUAUUUUUGAUGCAGACAACUGUGGUGAUGCAGAGUCUAAUCUAAGUGUGCCAAUGCCACCACAGCAUACUGACGCUGAUACUCAAUGGGAGUUUCCAGCAUUGACUUAUCACAGCUACAUGCCAAGAGAACCAGUCAACAAGCCCACCUGCCACAAACAAACCCAAUGUGGUGGUGCAGAGCCAUUGACCCACACUAUCCAGAAUAAUGACACUAGCUCAGUGUUGUAUACUGGCCUAACUCUUAGUGUUUUCUUUGACCAUGUAGCAUUUCUGCAGAAAUUCUACACAGCUAACUCCAGGGUGAUCUUGCUGAACGCUUUGCUGUGUCCCAGGGAAUAGUGAGCAGAAUCCUUUCCUACUGGAUUGACACAAUGGAGGAGCACAAGGAUCUACAUUCCAUGGCUGCCGAGGGAGACAAUCCAGAACACAAUGCUUCAAAGAGAAGUUUCCCAACACCACUUGCAUCAUCGGCUGCUCUGUAACCACUCUUCUCGAUUUCAGAGGGGGGGUCAUACAGCCACUAUUAUUCCAGCAAUACGCUGAAGUAUUUUCUCAGUGUGGACUCGUUAUGUUUUUUUCUCCUGCACAUGGAGGCAGAUGCAGUGACAAGUUAAUCACCCAAAACUCUGGCUUCCUGGAAUACCUUAGGUCUGGCGAUUAAGUUAUGGCAGACAGGGGCUUCACCAUCCGAGAUCUGUUGUAUGAGAGGAAGGUAAACCUUGCCGUACCAGCCGUCACUCAGAAAGGAGACCAGCUGUCUGACGAGGAUGUCACAAGCACGAGAAGGUUAGCUAAUGUGCAUAUACAUGUUGAGAGAGUUAUCAGACGACUCGGGAGCAGUGGUGACACAUCAUAAAGGGAAGGUGAGCCCCACAUUUAGAGCAAAACAAUUAUAAAUAAAACAGGUGCUUGCCUGUUUAACAUGUUAUUUUGGCUUUAAUACGUGUCACAUAUCAGUUUGCAAACAGUGCAAAGAAAAUCAUUUGUAUAUAUAUAUAUCAUUGAGUUAAUAAAGCUGUGUACAAACAUG